UGAUGUUAGCGGGGACGGGUGAGUAACACGUGGAUAACCUACCUAUAAGACUGGGAUAACUUCGGGAAACCGGAGCUAAUACCGGAUAAUAUUUUGAACCGCAUGGUUCAAAAGUGAAAGACGGUCUUGCUGUCACUUAUAGAUGGAUCCGCGCUGCAUUAGCUAGUUGGUAAGGUAACGGCUUACCAAGGCAACGAUGCAUAGCCGACCUGAGAGGGUGAUCGGCCACACUGGAACUGAGACACGGUCCAGACUCCUACGGGAGGCAGCAGUAGGGAAUCUUCCGCAAUGGGCGAAAGCCUGACGGAGCAACGCCGCGUGAGUGAUGAAGGUCUUCGGAUCGUAAAACUCUGUUAUUAGGGAAGAACAUAUGUGUAAGUAACUGUGCACAUCUUGACGGUACCUAAUCAGAAAGCCACGGCUAACUACGUGCCAGCAGCCGCGGUAAUACGUAGGUGGCAAGCGUUAUCCGGAAUUAUUGGGCGUAAAGCGCGCGUAGGCGGUUUUUUAAGUCUGAUGUGAAAGCCCACGGCUCAACCGUGGAGGGUCAUUGGAAACUGGAAAACUUGAGUGCAGAAGAGGAAAGUGGAAUUCCAUGUGUAGCGGUGAAAUGCGCAGAGAUAUGGAGGAACACCAGUGGCGAAGGCGACUUUCUGGUCUGUAACUGACGCUGAUGUGCGAAAGCGUGGGGAUCAAACAGGAUUAGAUACCCUGGUAGUCCACGCCGUAAACGAUGAGUGCUAAGUGUUAGGGGGUUUCCGCCCCUUAGUGCUGCAGCUAACGCAUUAAGCACUCCGCCUGGGGAGUACGACCGCAAGGUUGAAACUCAAAGGAAUUGACGGGGACCCGCACAAGCGGUGGAGCAUGUGGUUUAAUUCGAAGCAACGCGAAGAACCUUACCAAAUCUUGACAUCCUUUGACAACUCUAGAGAUAGAGCUUUCCCCUUCGGGGGACAAAGUGACAGGUGGUGCAUGGUUGUCGUCAGCUCGUGUCGUGAGAUGUUGGGUUAAGUCCCGCAACGAGCGCAACCCUUAAGCUUAGUUGCCAUC
RNAcentral lists this ribosomal RNA (1050 nucleotides) under Staphylococcus aureus. RNAcentral's name for it is "bacterial SSU rRNA". It matches the Rfam family "Bacterial small subunit ribosomal RNA", at positions 87 to 1122 of the family's 1533-position model. The record is from RNAcentral. Lineage: Bacteria; Bacillati; Bacillota; Bacilli; Caryophanales; Staphylococcaceae.